RNAcentral lists this ribosomal RNA (465 nucleotides) under uncultured bacterium. RNAcentral describes it as "bacterial SSU rRNA". It matches the Rfam family "Bacterial small subunit ribosomal RNA", at positions 338 to 795 of the family's 1533-position model. The record is from RNAcentral.
CCUACGGGGUGCAGCAGUGGGGAAUAUUGCACAAUGGGCGCAAGCCUGAUGCAGCCAUGCUGCGUGUAUGAAGAAGGGCUUCGGGUUGUAAAGUACUUUCAGCGGGGAGGAAGGCGAUAAGGUUAAUAACCUUGUCGAUUGACGUUACCCGCAGAAGAAGCACCGGCUAACUCCGUGCCAGCAGCCGCGGUAAUACGGAGGGUGCAAGCGUUAAUCGGAAUUACUGGGCGUAAAGCGCACGCAGGCGGUCUGUCAAGUCGGAUGUGAAAUCCCCGAGCUCAACCUGGGAACUGCAUUCGAAACUGGCAAGCUUGAGUCUCGUAGAGGGGGGUAGAAUUCCAGGUGUAGCGGUGAAAUGCGUAGAGAUCUGGAGGAAUACCGGUGGCGAAGGCGGCCCCCUGGACGAAGACUGACGCUCAGGUGCGAAAGCGUGGGGAGCAAACAGGAUUAGAUACCCUCGUAGUC